AAGUCGAUUUUGGGCAUUGCCAUCGAGGGCGGGGCCAAUACCAAGCAUCCACUGCCCAGGAUCAUCAACAUACACGAUAAUGGAGCAGCGUAUGAGGCCGGUGGUCUCGAGGUCGGUCAGCUGAUCCUAGAAGUGGACGGUUACAAGGUGGAAGGUCUCCAUCAUCAGGAGGUAGCAAGACUGAUCGCCGAGUCGUUCGCGAGGCGCGACCGCAACGAGAUCGAGUUCCUGGUAGUCGAGGCAAAGAAGAGCAACCUGGAGCCGAAGCCGACGGCUCUGAUAUUCCUGGAAGCGUAGCAGGAAUCUCCCACCUCCGAGCCGGAACCACCGUAGCCUGACAUGUCCAGAGCUCGGCCCGCGACACACUUGGAGCGUCGUCGACGCUGAACCGUCAAAGAGGCUG
Molecule: long non-coding RNA, 403 nt
Organism: Eufriesea mexicana
Lineage: Eukaryota; Metazoa; Arthropoda; Insecta; Hymenoptera; Apidae
Exons: 3
Source: RefSeq, a predicted model, not a curated record